UACGAAGGGGGCAAGCGUUGUUCGGAAUUACUGGGCGUAAAGGGCGCGUAGGCGGUUUAUCAAGUCAGGCGUGAAAUUCCCGGGCUCAACCUGGGGGCUGCGCUUGAUACUGAUUGGCUUGAAUGCGGGAGAGGAUAGUGGAAUUCCCAGUGUAGAGGUGAAAUUCGUAGAUAUUGGGAAGAACACCGGUGGCGAAGGCGGCUAUCUGGCCCGUAAUUGACGCUGAGGCGCGAAAGCGUGGGGAGCAAACAGG
RNAcentral lists this ribosomal RNA (253 nucleotides) under uncultured bacterium. Its description in RNAcentral is "partial 16S ribosomal RNA". It matches the Rfam family "Bacterial small subunit ribosomal RNA", at positions 524 to 776 of the family's 1533-position model. The record is from RNAcentral.